RNAcentral lists this ribosomal RNA (358 nucleotides) under uncultured bacterium. Its description in RNAcentral is "partial 16S ribosomal RNA". It matches the Rfam family "Bacterial small subunit ribosomal RNA", at positions 338 to 710 of the family's 1533-position model. The record is from RNAcentral.
CCUACGGGAGGCAGCAGUGGGGAAUAUUGCGCAAUGGGGGCAACCCUGACGCAGCAACGCCGCGUGAUUGAAGAAGGCCUUCGGGUUGUAAAGAUCUUUAAUUGGGGACGAAACAAAUGACGGUACCCAAAGAAUAAGCUCCGGCUAACUACGUGCCAGCAGCCGCGGUAAUACGGAGGCAGCAAGAGUUAGCCGGAUUUAAUGGGUGUAAGGGGCGAGUAGGUGGGCUGGGAAGUUGGGAGUGAAAUCCCGCGGCUUAACCGCGGAACUGCUUUAAAAACUGGCGGUCUUGAGUGACGGGGAGGCAGGCGGAAUUCGGGGUGUAGCGGUGAAAUGCGUAGAUAUACGGAGGAACACC